Molecule: ribosomal RNA, 153 nt
Filed under: uncultured bacterium
Lineage: Bacteria
Description: partial 16S ribosomal RNA
Rfam family: Bacterial small subunit ribosomal RNA
Source: RNAcentral
GGAGCUGAUCAGCCAUGCCGCGUGUGUGAAGAAGGCCUUUUGGUUGUAAAGCACUUUAAGCGAGGAGGAGGCUCUUAAGGUUAAUACCCUUGAUGAGUGGACGUUACUCGCAGAAUAAGCACCGGCUAACUCUGUGCCAGCAGCCGCGGUAAU